AUGGAGAGCCAUCCCCGUGGUGGGUGGCAGGCCCUGCCCUGGCUCCACUUCUGCCUGGGGGCCAAGGACGCUGGGUGGGUCUCUGGAUUUUCUUUUCAUGCCUUGGCCAGAACGCACAUUGGUGGCAGAAACUGUCCCAAGCCGAGCUUGCAGCCCCGCCCCUGCCCCCCCCCCCCCCACCACCAGCUGCAGGCCCUCGGGGCGGCUGCAGCUACGUGGGCUCCGGGACGGACAGCAAGCCGGGGUGUCUGCUCCGUGCCAGGCCCCACUGCGGGUUCUGACCAGCUGCGUUCACGAUCGAUGGGGUCAGAGCAGGUCCCGGGGCGCCUCGGGGGCCCUGAACCCACCCAACCAGCCCUGCCAGGUGCGGCUAAACCUGGGGCUCCUGCGCUGAGCACCCCGGCUCCCAGCACCCCAGCUCCCAGCCCCCCGGCUCCCAGUCCCCUGGCUCCCAGCACCCCAGUCCCCCGCCUCCCAGCACCCCGCCUCCCAGCCUCCCGGCUCCCAGCUCCCCGGCUCCCAGCUCCCCGGCUCCCCGGCUCCAGGAGCAGCGCUGGGCCGUGGCAAGGGCAGCCCGCAGUUACACCUGCAGGGGAGGAGGAGACACCCCGGCCUGUCCACCCCCAGCGUGAGGUCCGGGCCGAGGGUGCGGCGGGGUCUGGCUGCGGGGCAGCUGUGGCCUUGCAGGGACAGUGUCAGCCGUGGGGACCGCCGCCGGACACCUCUCGAUCGCGGCCUCGGGACAGCAAGGUGGCUGCCGAUGUCUGGGCUGGAUGGCAAGGCGCCGGCCCGGCCCGGCCCCGGGCUGCCCGCUGGGGGGACGGCGACAACGGCACAGGCGGGGACGGGCGCAUCCAGGGGCGCAGGUGGGGCAGCUGCCGAUGCCGCCCUCCACGCUGCAGAGGUGCUACUGCCCAAGCGUUUCCCAGUCUGAAGUCACAGGACUGCGCUGAGCCCCCGACACUCCUCGAAGAGUCCCCAGAUCACACUGUCACCCGCCUGGCCGAGGAGCCCCUUGUUCUGUGUAACCCCCGACUCACAGUAACGUCCAGGACUUCCUGGGGGCGGCUCGGCGCGACAGCAAGCCACUACCUCCUGUGCCGCCCCAGGUGGGGGACCCGGGCUCAGGCCUUGGCUCCCGGCGCCGCGGUGCCCAGUGCCAGCCCGUGUGGCUCCUUCCUUCUCUCCCCAGCGCCGACCGCGCCCCCAUCGCGACACCCGCCCUCGGUCAACGCGCACUGAAGGUCCCGCAGCAUCCGGCCUCCCUUCCCGUCAGCCUGGUAACCACACGAUGAGCGAGCGGGUCUCAAUCCUGUUUUCAGAUGGAGGAACCUGGGCUCGGCGCAGGCACCCAGCGCUGCCUCCCAGCUUCUCCAGACACACGCACGUUCUUUGUCUUCUCUUCUGCUCGUCCCCGCACGCCUUCCAGGCCGCGAUCUAGGACACCUGCAGGGAUGGAGAACUCACUACGUCCUGGGGACACUGUCCCUGUGCUCCUUGCAGAAAGCUGAGGCCUUCCUAAAGGUCCCACCUGAUCCGAAUUCCAAUGUUUGAGGCCAAAAAAACAAAUCUGUGCCCUCUGACCUCAUGGCACCCCCCCCCAAAUGUUUGACGCGGGCUCUCGUUCCCCACAUGGCUUUUUUUCUCUAGGCUGACCUGCCUCCCGUGCCUCUAGCCUCCCUGGGGGGACAUGAAUCCGCAUUACUGUCCUGUGCCCUUCAGAAAGAGUCCCGGGAUGCGCCAUAUGGCAAAAGACUUGGGAUCUCUCAGGCAAUCGGCUUUGUUUAAAAGUAUUAUAUAUCUUUUUUGUGUUUUGUUUUUUUUUUUAAAGAGAGUCUCUAAAGCAAAAAGUAAAAUUUCUCCCCACCCAUCCUCUUCCAAACCCAGCACCACUGCCCAGAGGACGCCUCUGUUGGAAGCUUCCAUUUCAUUUCUUAUGACAGUUUCUGUUGUAAAAUUUGAAAACACAACUAGACCUUGAUUUGUUGGCUUAUCCUUAGAUGUCGUCUGCUGAGGGCCCUGCAUGGAGGGUUGGGAAUGCCGCACCCCAAUGCUCUCCUCUCUCCUCCCACACACUUUGACCUCAAACUUUGGUUAGUUAUAUUAGUUUUUAAAGUUGUUUUAGCAGUUCCUGUUAUAUUACUAUAAAUAAUGUGCCUAAGGAGCUGUCUCAUCCAUGAACUCCCCCCAUCAACAUGCAGGAGAGUAGUGAACCUCUUCCUUCUACUUCUCUCUUAUGAACUCUCAAUUUAAUAAUAUAUAUAUAUAUAUAUAUUGACAAUUGCAAGGUUUAUAACAUUUGCACUGUGUUCUGUAGCCAUCAGUAAGCUUCCACAUUUUGUCCAUAAAGUAAUUCUAAAAGUUAAAAGCCAAUAGACAGCAUCAUUGUGACUCUAUGAACACUAUUCCCUGCAGAUCCAAAGAAUAUGGCUGGAUCCACAGGGAAGAGGAAAUGUAAUUCACCGCCUUGAUACCUCUGACAUUUGAAGGAGGGUUUGCUACGGAGCAGAGUCUAGUGGAGACUCAGUUCCCUAUCGGCUCUCCUCACUUCUUCUGGGUCCAUUCCACGUGCACUUUAUUUUUCCUUUUUUUUUUUUUUUUUUUUGUCUCUCAUGCCAUCCUCUUUUAAAAUUCUUUUUUUAAGAAUUUUUUUUAAUUUUAAAAAAUUUUUUUGCUAGAGUGAUCUUCAUUUCCUGUGUAUGAUUGGUAACUGGUAAAGAUAACCACAUCUCAAUCCCUGGAACCUGUGAAUGUUAUCUUACGCAGCAAAACAGGGGUCUUUGCAGAUGUAAUUACGUCAAGGAUUUUGAGAUGGGGGUAAUAAUUGCUCUAAAUGCAAUCAUAGGGGGCCUUCUAAGACAUGAGCAGAUGGAGAUUUCUCACACGGACACAGAGCAGGAGAUGUGAAAAUGGAGCAGAGAGGGAUUCUCAGCCACACACCAAGGAAUGCCAGUUACCACCAGAGGCUUGAAGAGGCAAGGAUGGCUUCUCCCCUAGAGCCUCCGGAGGGAGUGCAGUCCUGCCAACAUCUUGAUUUCAGCCCAAUGAUACAGAUUUCAAAAUUCUUCCUCCAUAACAGUGAGAGAAUAAAUGUCCCUGCUGUUAAGCCCCCAAGCUUGUGGUAAUUUGUUGCGGCAGCCGCAGGAAGCUAAUAGAGUAACAUUUUAAUUGCUUCUAUCCCUGAAAAUGACCGUUUUGGGUAUGCCCUCUUGUUGACAGUUUGGCAAGGUAUAAAAUCCUAUAUUCUUUACUAAAAGCCAUUUUCCCUUAGAAUUUUGAGGACACCCGACCAUGGGCUUCUAGCAUCCAGGAUACCUGCUGAGGAGAAAUCUCACAUCAGUCUGAAUCUUGUUAUUUUCAAAGUACCAAUUUUUCCUUGCUCUACAAGCAUUUGUGCAUUUUCUCUGGGUCCUCAGAGUUCUGUCAUUACAUAAGAAUGUGUCUGAAUGUUGCUCUUUAUUUCAUAAAUCCUUCUUGACAUUCUGUGGCCUGUUUCAACCUGAUGACUCCUGCUUUCUUCAGCUGAGGAAACGCUUCCUUAAUUUUUUAAAGUGUCCAUUUUCUGUUAGAACUCCUAUUGGACAGAUUAUGGUCUGUCCUCCCUGUCUCUUGACUUUUCUCUGCUAUUUAAUCUCUUUGUACUUCCGCUCUAUAUUCUGGUGAUUUCCUUUCCAAGUCACCAAUUUGGUUCUCAGUCUUGUCCAUUAUAUUAUUCAGCUAUCCCACCAGAUUUUUAAAUUUCAUCAGUCAUGCUUUGAAUUACUAAAAUAUCUUUGUUCUAAUUUUCAGAUAACUUUUCACGUCUGGGAAUCGAGUCUACUCUUGUUAUCCUCUUGAUAUCUCUGAAGACACUAAUUAUAAUUUUUAAAAAAUAUUCUUACUGGUUUCUGGAAUUAUGUUUGAUUCUUCCAAGGCUAGCUGCGCUUUUUAAUGACUUUAGUGCCUCUCAGUGUCAAGAGGAAGUAGGCAGAAGGGUGUGUGUUUAGAAAACACAUUGACUCUCAAGACGGAGGGGCCUGCAUAUUUUGGAAACUGUACGUACCCUACAGAUUGAAACAGCUCCAAAGAUGAUACUAUUGUAAGUCAUAUCCUACCCCACACCUCUACACCAUCUCCAUGCCCACACUCUGAAUGAGAACCACAGGGCCAGGUCAGCAAUUCUCAAUCCUGGUGGAAGAUCAGAACAAACUAGAGAGCUUCUAAAAACCACCUGGGCCUGGGAGCCCCAGAUAAAGCUUGUGUGCUUCUGAGGUUGUAAAUCACUAGAACAGAGGUGACCUAUCUCUAAGGUCUUGCUUUUGCAACUGUGGCCCAAGAACCAGCAGUAUCUGCACCACCUGGGAACUUGUUAGACAUGGAGACUCUUGGGACUCACCCCAGAUGUUCUGAAUCAGAAUCUUUAUUUAAAUAAGCCCCUUGGGCAGCCGCAGUAGCUCAGUGGUUUAGCACUGCCUUCAGCCCGGGGCGUGAUCCUGGAGACCCGGGAUCGAGUCCUACAUCGGUCUCCCUGCACGGAGCCUGCUUCUCCUUCUGCCUGUGUCCCUGCCUUUCUCUUUCCCUCUCUGUGUCUCUCCUGAAUAAAUAAAUAAAAUCUUUAAAAAAAAUGCAAACAAGAGCCUCAGUGAUUGGUAAGUACAUUAAAAUUUGAGGAACACUUCUUUACUUUAUGGGGGGAUCAUAAGACAGUGUGGCAUAUUUGGGUGUGACCUCUAGAGUCCAACAGAUCUGAACUUGAAGCCCAACUCUGUCUCUUAACUAACUCAUGAGCACACUAAAGCUGGAGAAAUGUGGCUAUAGAGCACUCAGCACAGUGUCUGGCCAGUGGUAGAAUUUCAAUAAAUGGUCUCUCUUUCUCAUUUACUUCUUCAAAGGUUCUUUUCCAGGUCUGUGACUCUUGGGCAGGCGUGCUUCUCCCGUACCUCCAUUCCUCUCCUGUCUGUAAAGCAACUGAUUAAUCACACUCUUUGGUCUUUCCCCCUCCAGUACUGUCAGAGCUGUACCAUCAAGUCACUCUUCUAGCACUGCCUUACAUGAUGGCUUCUGGUCUCACUUGUAAAAUUUAACAGCAAAAUGCUUUUGAUAUGCAGCUUCUUUGAAGUUGACCCAAUCUGUAUCCCGGAGAUAAAAAGCUGUUCUGCAUCAUAGCUUUUUCUCAUAUGAACUUUAAGUGUCAGUAGAAAAGACAGCUGUGCACUCUGCUCUGCUGGUUUCAUUUUCCCUGGCUCCAUUUGGAGUUCCCUGGAGAAGCAUGGGGAAUCGAUUUUGUGUCAGGAGAUGAUGACACCAUCCUGCAGCUGUGAUUCAUGUUGAGGACAUCUUUGAUUCAUCACUAACUCCUCUUAUGGAUCUCACAGUGAACUUCCUCCAGGGCUUCCUAAUUUGUCCUCACCACCCCCCACCCCCCAAAGCUG
RNAcentral lists this long non-coding RNA (5411 nucleotides) under Canis lupus familiaris (dog). Its description in RNAcentral is "lncRNA (ENSCAFG00000057979.1)". The record is from RNAcentral. Lineage: Eukaryota; Metazoa; Chordata; Mammalia; Carnivora; Canidae.